CGGGUGAGUAACGCGUGGGUAACCUGCCUCAUACAGGGGGAUAACAGUUAGAAAUGGCUGCUAAUACCGCAUAAGACCACAGUACUGCAUGGUACAGUGGUAAAAACUCCGGUGGUAUGAGAUGGACCCGCGUCUGAUUAGGUAGUUGGUGAGGUAACGGCCCACCAAGCCGACGAUCAGUAGCCGACCUGAGAGGGUGACCGGCCACAUUGGGACUGAGACACGGCCCAG
Molecule: ribosomal RNA, 231 nt
Filed under: uncultured bacterium
Lineage: Bacteria
Description: partial 16S ribosomal RNA
Rfam family: Bacterial small subunit ribosomal RNA
Source: RNAcentral